Molecule: ribosomal RNA, 461 nt
Filed under: uncultured Oscillospiraceae bacterium
Lineage: Bacteria; Bacillati; Bacillota; Clostridia; Eubacteriales; Oscillospiraceae
Description: bacterial SSU rRNA
Rfam family: Bacterial small subunit ribosomal RNA
Source: RNAcentral
CCCGCACAAGCAGUGGAGUAUGUGGUUUAAUUCGAAGCAACGCGAAGAACCUUACCAGGGCUUGACAUCCCUUGAAGCAGCUAGAGAUAGCUGUGUCCUUCGGGACAAGGAGACAGGUGGUGCAUGGUUGUCGUCAGCUCGUGUCGUGAGAUGUUGGGUUAAGUCCCGCAACGAGCGCAACCCCUGUGGUUAGUUGCCAGCAAGUAGCGUUGGGCACUCUAGCCAGACUGCCGGUGAUAAAUCGGAGGAAGGUGGGGACGACGUCAAAUCAUCAUGCCCUUUAUGUCCUGGGCUACACACGUACUACAAUGGCCGUUACAACGGGAAGCGAAGGAGCAAUCCGGAGCAAAUCCCUUAAAGGCGGUCCCAGUUCAGAUUGUGGGCUGAAACUCGCCCACAUGGAGGCGGAAUUGCUAGUAAUUGCAGAUCAGCAUGCUGCAGUGAAUACGUUCCCGGGCCUU